RNAcentral lists this ribosomal RNA (356 nucleotides) under uncultured bacterium. RNAcentral describes it as "partial 16S ribosomal RNA". It matches the Rfam family "Bacterial small subunit ribosomal RNA", at positions 338 to 692 of the family's 1533-position model. The record is from RNAcentral.
CCUACGGGAGGCUGCAGUGAGGAAUAUUGGUCAAUGGGCGGAAGCCUGAACCAGCCAAGUAGCUUGCGGGAUGAAGGCCCUACGGGUCGUCAACCGCUUUUGCACGGGGAUAACACCCUCCACUUGUGGAGUUCUGCAGGUACCGUGCGAAUAAGGGCCGGCUAAUUCCGUGCCAGCAGCCGAGGUAAUACGGAAGGCCCGAGCGUUAUCCGGAUUCAUUGGGCUUAAAGGGAGUGUAGGCGGGCGUGCAAGUCAGCUGUAAAAUCUCGCGGCUCAACCGCGCCCCGCAGUUGAAACUGGACGCCUUGAGUUCACAACAGGCAGGCGGAAUUCGGGGUGUAGCGGUGAAAUGCAUA